GGCUGGCCAAAGUACAGUGGUGUUUACAACUAAUUGAUCAUGACCAGUUAUAGAUUUCUUCGUUUCUUCUCCACUCCCUUUGUCUUACUUGACUGGCCUUAA
RNAcentral lists this Y RNA (102 nucleotides) under Saimiri boliviensis boliviensis (Bolivian squirrel monkey). RNAcentral's name for it is "Y RNA (ENSSBOG00000000196.1)". It matches the Rfam family "Y RNA". Rfam says of the family: Y RNAs are components of the Ro ribonucleoprotein particle (Ro RNP), in association with Ro60 and La proteins. The record is from Rfam by way of RNAcentral. Lineage: Eukaryota; Metazoa; Chordata; Mammalia; Primates; Cebidae.